UUUUUUUUUUUAACAUGGUGGAAUGAUGUAGUCUAUCCUGUGGCUCAUACAAUCCUUGAUGGCAUAUGAUUACAGCACAGAUCUCAAUCGUACUGCUGACAUCUGAAGUUUGGGAAGUACUAUUUACAGGGAAACCUCCUUGGAGUGAGUAUGAGCGGGCUCAAGCUAUAUUUAAGGUGAUGCAAAGUUCUCCACCAAUACCUAAGAUGUUAUAUGCCGAGGGAAAGGAUUUCCUGCAAUGCUGCUUUUGAAGAGAGCCUGCCGAGAGGCUUUCAGUUGCUAUGCUACUUGAGCAUGCUUUCUUGCAAAUUUGAAGUGAUGAUUGACUUAUUUCAAGUGCCAUACCUUGUUGCAAAAGUAAUGUCUUACUAUAAAGUUCCAGAUUUGCUAAACCAAAAGUAUCAUGAGGUCCAUAGGUGUGAUGAAGUACUUGUCUAUCGACAAAAUUAGAUGCAUGUCUGAGCGGUGGCAUACUUUGAUCUAGGCAAUUUGACAGUGUUGCCUAAUCUAAAUGGAGAGCUAGGCAAUUUGAAAGUCUUGCCUAAUCUAAACAUUUUACUACGGAGUGCAUCCUUAUCAUAGACAUUUUGUCUAUUACUUUAA
Long non-coding RNA from Eucalyptus grandis, 603 nucleotides. RefSeq lists it as uncharacterized. The record is from RefSeq and is a predicted model, not a curated record. Lineage: Eukaryota; Viridiplantae; Streptophyta; Magnoliopsida; Myrtales; Myrtaceae. The transcript is spliced from 2 exons.